GCUCAGAUUGAACGCUGGCGGCAGGCUUAACACAUGCAAGUCGAGCGGUAGCACAGGGGAGCUUGCUCCCUGGGUGACGAGCGGCGGACGGGUGAGUAAUGUCUGGGAAACUGCCUGAUGGAGGGGGAUAACUACUGGAAACGGUAGCUAAUACCGCAUAACGUCGCAAGACCAAAGAGGGGGACCUUCGGGCCUCUUGCCAUCAGAUGUGCCCAGAUGGGAUUAGCUAGUAGGUGGGGUAAUGGCUCACCUAGGCGACGAUCCCUAGCUGGUCUGAGAGGAUGACCAGCCACACUGGAACUGAGACACGGUCCAGACUCCUACGGGAGGCAGCAGUGGGGAAUAUUGCACAAUGGGCGCAAGCCUGAUGCAGCCAUGCCGCGUGUGUGAAGAAGGCCUUCGGGUUGUAAAGCACUUUCAGCGAGGAGGAAGGUGGUGAGCUUAAUACGCUCAUCAA
Molecule: ribosomal RNA, 457 nt
Filed under: uncultured bacterium
Lineage: Bacteria
Description: bacterial SSU rRNA
Rfam family: Bacterial small subunit ribosomal RNA
Source: RNAcentral